Molecule: unclassified non-coding RNA, 247 nt
Filed under: Hevea brasiliensis (rubber tree)
Lineage: Eukaryota; Viridiplantae; Streptophyta; Magnoliopsida; Malpighiales; Euphorbiaceae
Source: RNAcentral
UUGACCGCGGUACGGUCCAGACCGCCAAGUAUGCAGCAGCACGCACCAAAGCCGGCAAGCUGGUGUCCGUCGCCGGCGGCGGCGACACCGUUGCGGCGUUGAACCACGCUGGCGUGGGCCGCGAUUUCACCUACGUUUCGACCGCAGGCGGCGCCUUUCUGGAGUGGAUGGAAGGGAAACCUUUGCCCGGCGUCGAAGUUUUGAGAGUACGCUAAAUUUUCAACGGAUCUGGCGCCAUUGGCGCUGC